This 432-nucleotide ribosomal RNA is filed under the name uncultured bacterium. Its description in RNAcentral is "bacterial SSU rRNA". It matches the Rfam family "Bacterial small subunit ribosomal RNA", at positions 29 to 507 of the family's 1533-position model. The record is from RNAcentral.
AACGAACGCUGGCGGCAGGCCUAACACAUGCAAGUCGAGCGAACCCUUCGGGGUUAGCGGCGGACGGGUUAGUAACGCGUGGGAAUAUACCCUUUGGUACGGAAUAGCCUCGGGAAACUGAGAGUAAUACCGUAUGUGCCCUUCGGGGAAAGAUUUAUCGCCAAAGGAUUAGCCCGCGUUGGAUUAGAUAGUUGGUGGGGUAAUGGCCUACCAAGUCUACGAUCCAUAGCUGGUUUGAGAGGAUGAUCAGCAACACUGGGACUGAGACACGGCCCAGACUCCUACGGGAGGCAGCAGUGGGGAAUCUUAGACAAUGGGCGCAAGCCUGAUCUAGCCAUGCCGCGUGGACGAUGAAGGCCUUAGGGUUGUAAAGCUCUUUCAGGGGGGAAGAUAAUGACUGUACCCCCAGAAGAAGCCCCGGCUAACUCCGUG